GCCAGGCGUGGUGGCUCACGCCUGUAAUCCCAGCACUUUGGGAGGCCGAGGUGGGUGGAUCACCUGAGGUCGGGAGUUUGAGACCAGCCUGACCAACAUGGUGAAACCCCAUCUCUA
This 117-nucleotide non-coding RNA is filed under the name Nomascus leucogenys (northern white-cheeked gibbon). The record is from Rfam by way of RNAcentral. Lineage: Eukaryota; Metazoa; Chordata; Mammalia; Primates; Hylobatidae.